GUCUUGUCAGAGCUCCUGGAUGCCAUGCUGGGGAGGUGAAGGACGAAAUGGUUGGCACAGAGAUGAAGCAGACUGAAAUAGGGACAGACGCCAGGGUGGAGCAGUCCAUGAUGGGUUCUCAGACCCUGAUGGAAAAGGUUCUGUCCCAGCCUCUCACACAGUUGUAUCCUGCCGCCAGCCCAGCACAGGGAACAGUGGGGACAGGCAAUCUCAUCUUGUCAAACCAAGCAACAUGGGUCUCAUUGAGGCUCAGAUGGAAGAUCCCAUGCAUCUCCUGGAGAUAGUCAGCCAGUGAGGCCAGUUGGCAGAAUGUGGAAGAGCCAUUUGGUGAUGGGUUGGAGGAUUCACCAUGUAGGUGGCAGCAGCUGCAGUGCCUGGGGUCCCCAUGGGCCAAGCCUCCACUCGUGACACUCCAGGCUAAUCUCCCACUGCUCUCAGUGGGGUUUUGGCUUUAGCUGCUGGGCCUGCGUGCCUAGACAGAGGACUCAGGUAUUUCCAUCAGGCUGCUCAAUGGCAAAUGGAGUCAUCCACAGAAGUGAAGAAGAAUGGAAGUGAAAGAGCAAAGCUGGACCAUCCGCUGAGCUGCUGCAAACAAGUGAGCAGAGCCGGGGAGAGAAGAGGAAGAACUCGAAGAUGGCUGGCGGCAGUAGGGAGGAAAAGCAGUUUGGGAGC
Long non-coding RNA from Trachemys scripta elegans, 672 nucleotides. RefSeq lists it as uncharacterized. The record is from RefSeq and is a predicted model, not a curated record. The transcript has 3 exons. Lineage: Eukaryota; Metazoa; Chordata; Testudines; Emydidae.